AGGCCACUGCUAUCGGAGUUCGAUUAAGCCAUGCGAGUCGAGAGGUGUAAGACCUCGGCAUACUGCUCAGUAACACGUGGACAACCUACCCUGAAGAGGGGGAUAACCCCGGGAAACUGGGGAUAAUACCCCAUAGACUAUGGAUGCUGGAAUGCUUUGUAGUUGAAAGGUCCGCCGCUUCAGGAUGGGUCUGCGGCCGAUUAGGUUGUUGUUGGGGUAACGGCCCAACAAGCCUGUAAUCGGUACGGGUUGUGGGAGCAAGAGCCCGGAGAUGGAUUCUGAGACACGAAUCCAGGCCCUACGGGGCGCAGCAGGCGCGAAAACUUUACAAUGCGAGCAAUCGUGAUAAGGGAACUCCGAGUGCCUGUAAAAUCAGGCUGUCCGCCAGUGUAAAUAACUGGUGAAGAAAGGGCCGGGCAAGACCGGUGCCAGCCGCCGCGGUAAUACCGGCGGCUCGAGUGGUGGCCACUAUUACUGGGCUUAAAGCGUUCGUAGCUGGUCUGUUAAGUCUCUGGGGAAAUCUUCCGGCUUAACCGGAAGGCGUCUCGGGGAUACUGGCAGACUAGGGACCGGAAGAGGUGAGAGGUACUCCAGGGGUAGGAGUGAAAUCCUGUAAUCCUUGGGGGACCACCUGUGGCGAAGGCGUCUCACCAGGACGGCUCCGACAGUGAGGAACGAAAGCUGGGGGAGCAAACCGGAUUAGAUACCCGGGUAGUCCCAGCUGUAAACGAUGCGCGUUAGGUGUAUCGGUGACCACGAGUCACCGAGGUGCCGAAGAGAAAUCGUGAAACGCGCCGCCUGGGAAGUACGGUCGCAAGGCUGAAACUUAA
This 830-nucleotide ribosomal RNA is filed under the name uncultured archaeon. RNAcentral describes it as "bacterial SSU rRNA". It matches the Rfam family "Archaeal small subunit ribosomal RNA", at positions 21 to 859 of the family's 1478-position model. The record is from RNAcentral.